This 960-nucleotide long non-coding RNA is filed under the name Leguminivora glycinivorella. RNAcentral's name for it is "uncharacterized LOC125239233". The record is from RNAcentral. Lineage: Eukaryota; Metazoa; Arthropoda; Insecta; Lepidoptera; Tortricidae.
GGAAAACUGUGUCAUACUCACUUUAAGAAAAAAUAUAAUACUUCAAGCGGAAGGCUCCGUUUUACCCAUUUCUCUAUUGAGGUCUUGGGGUAUGGAAUUGAUAAGCAAACCACAUUGCUGCAAUUUCCAAUCAAUGUUCAAGAACCAAUGCAAGAUGAUCAAGUACCCAGAGCCCCUUUGAGGAACAUCACCAAUCAGUACCCACAGGGCGGCUACUAAUCUCAGAUCUCAGCCGUCAGCUUCAGGAAUUGAUAAGCAAGCAAACCGCAUCGCUGCAAUUUGCUAGCAAUAUUCAAGAACCGAUGCAAGAUGAUCAAAUACCCAGAGCCCCUUUGAGGAACAUCACUGAUGUCAGUUCUCAGCCGUCAACUUCAGGUCACGCGCCACGACACAUACCCCGAUUUUUCACGGAAGCUAGCAGUUUGGCCAAACAAAUAAAAAACCUUACUGAGACAAAAGAAAAAUAUUCUGUAAGAUUAAAAAAAAGCUUAUGUGUCUAUCCACAAACACAUCUUUUCAAAAGGCUAUUAGGAGUUUCAUCGUUGAACAUCUUCUCUUCACCACACCCACACACACUCUCUCUCUCUCUCUCUUUCUUGAUUCUUUGAACUAAUAAGAAAGGUCCAUUUUAUUCAUAAGAGUGCAAAGUAAUUUGAUUCAAAUUUUAAAUUGAAGUUCUAAACUGCUGGUAGAAUGUACCUUUUAGUAAUGAUUUUGAAUUGGAAAUGUUUAUUUAAUUGUUGAAAUGUUUUUUUACAGUUCGUUUAUUGCUCGUGUUGGUGUGGUGAAAAUUGUCUGUAGGAAACACUGCGCUUGAAAUAAUUAAGACGCAUUAGGAGAAGUAAUUCUCUAAACGCUUUCGACUAGUUCUUUCCUGGUUUUUGAAGCUAAGUAGUAUCACCACCAAUUACGUAACUAUAAAACAUAUUUUAAAAUAAAUUAUUAAAAACUAUUCCCCUG